Molecule: ribosomal RNA, 324 nt
Filed under: uncultured eukaryote
Lineage: Eukaryota
Description: partial 18S ribosomal RNA
Rfam family: Eukaryotic small subunit ribosomal RNA
Source: RNAcentral
CCCUUAGAUGUUCUGGGCCGCACGCGCGCUACACUGAUGCAUUCAACGAGCUUCUUCCUGGUCCGAGAGGAAUGGGUAACCUUUUGAAAGUGCAUCGUGAUAGGGAUAGACUAUUGCAAUUAUUGGUCUUCAACGAGGAAUUCCUAGUAGACGUAGUUCAUCAGACUGCAUCGAUUACGUCCCUGCCCUUUGUACACACCGCCCGUCGCUCCUACCGAUUGAAUGCUCAGGUGAGCCAUUCGGACUUUCAUCAUGCUGGUUUCCAGUUUUGAUGAAGGAAAGUCUUGCGAACCUUAUCAUUUAGAGGAAGGAGAAGUCGUAACA